AUCGGGAUGUGAGCUCACGGUGACGCAGACCUAGAGCCUGCGCUUAAACUGGUCUCUCUUUCCAGUUGCAGUCCGUAGUCCUUUGCGGCUGUGCGCCGACUCGCUGUUGCCUUAAGGUGGGCGAACUGUACCCACAAAGGAGGAAGUCGUGGAAGCUGACUGCGAUCCUCGGCAGGUCUUUAGGUCCGUUGGUGCAGCAGAUUUCAAGGCUGAGAGAGGAAGACUGCUUCUGAUCCCUGCAGGAAGAAGAAGCGGG
This 256-nucleotide long non-coding RNA is filed under the name Bos mutus (wild yak). RNAcentral's name for it is "lncRNA (ENSBMUG00000019164.1)". The record is from RNAcentral. Lineage: Eukaryota; Metazoa; Chordata; Mammalia; Artiodactyla; Bovidae.